AGUGAACGCUGGCGGUAGGCCUAACACAUGCCAGUCGAACGGCAGCACAGUAAGAGCUUGCUCUUACGGGUGGCGAGUGGCGGACGGGUGAGGAAUACAUCGGAAUCUACUUUUUCGUGGGGGAUAACGUAGGGAAACUUACGCUAAUACCGCAUACGACCUACGGGUGAAAGCAGGGGAUCUUCGGACCUUGCGCGAUUGAAUGAGCCGAUGUCGGAUUAGCUAGUUGGCGGGGUAAAGGCCCACCAAGGCGACGAUCCGUAGCUGGUCUGAGAGGAUGAUCAGCUACACUGGAACUGAGACACGGUCCAGACUCCUAUGGGAGGCAGCAGUGGGGAAUAUUGGACAAUGGGCGCAAGCCUGAUCCAGCCAUACCGCGUGGGUGAAGAAGGCCUUCGGGUUGUAAAGCCCUUUUGUUGGGAAAGAAAAGCAGCAGGUUAAUACCCCGCUGUUCUGACGGUACCCAAAGAAUAAGCACCGGCUAACUUCGUG
This 492-nucleotide ribosomal RNA is filed under the name uncultured bacterium. Its description in RNAcentral is "partial 16S ribosomal RNA". It matches the Rfam family "Bacterial small subunit ribosomal RNA", at positions 29 to 507 of the family's 1533-position model. The record is from RNAcentral.